AUCCAGCUGACCACGAGUCCCAAAUAGGGCGAAAUGCGAAUCCUGGCUGGAU
RNAcentral lists this non-coding RNA (52 nucleotides) under Trichobilharzia regenti. The record is from RNAcentral. Lineage: Eukaryota; Metazoa; Platyhelminthes; Trematoda; Strigeidida; Schistosomatidae.